This is a non-coding RNA of Notechis scutatus (mainland tiger snake), 164 nucleotides long. NCBI's taxonomy places the organism in Eukaryota, Metazoa, Chordata, Lepidosauria, Squamata, Elapidae. The record is from RefSeq and is a predicted model, not a curated record.
CCUGUUGUCAUCUUUACCAAGACGAAAGUUAUUUCUUUGAUUUUCAGGUCCUACUGUUACCACACCACCACCUGAACUUUCUACAACCUCCGCAGAUCUGACUACACAGAAAACAAGAGAGUUUUCUACCACCUCCACAGAUCUGACUACACAUCAAGUAAGAG